CAAGUGUUCUAACUCGCGCGGGUGGUGGGCAGGGAGAGCCCCAGAGCCAAAUCCCUCUGCUUCCGGCUCCAACCUGCCGAGCUAGGGCUGGGACCUCAAACCGGGUCUUUGCACAAGAGAAAGAGGACGACAGGCAGGAGAGGGAAGAGAUGAGGGGCACCGAAGUCAGAGGUGGAAAGAAACCAGACCCAAAAGGGUGGAAGAGGAACAGAUCUAUGGACCCCUGCCCACCAGCGCAACCCAGAGACAGAGUAGGAAAAAGAUCCGUGAGAGCUGCGGAAACAAUGAAAAGUGUCUGUCUUGGGAGAGCCAGAACCCCGGUCUCCCAGCUAGAAAAGGAACCGUUAAGGAAACACACUAUGCCAGGGCAACCCGUGAUGCAGUUUCUCCUAAGGGUUGACAUCCAUAUGAAGGUCUAAUUCCAACACCUCUACUUGUGCCAAUAAUCAAAAUAACAGAUACUUUCACUACUCUUUCUGGAAGACUAUGUGAUGAAUUACCAUGCAAAUGCCUUUAAGAAAGCUGACAAGGAAGAUGAGUCAUUUCCAUGUCUCUAAAGUAUCCUCACCUCAUGACUUCAAGGUGCUUUCCAGUCAAUGUCCAAGAUUGUAACAGUUCUAACUACUCAAGGUGGCCCAAUUACCAUAUCAUCAGUUUCCCUUUCUACAUUCACUCAGAUAAAAUAGGAUUAUACUGCUCUAUACACUCAUACUCCUUUGAAGAAUGUAGAGAUUUCCUUAAGAGCUGUCACUUGCCUGAAAUGCCUCUCCUGAUUUCGUUGAUGCUGCUCAAAUUCACCCUCAUAUUUCCAAGCUUCUCUGAAACUGGAAUAUUCAAGGUCAAUACUUUCACACAGAGAGAGAGAGAGAGGCCGAGACACAGGCAGAGGGAGAAGCAGGCUCCAUGCACUGGGAGCCCGACGUGGGAUUCGAUCCCGGGUCUCCAGGAUCGCGCCCUGGGUCAAAGGCAGGCGCCAAACUGCUGCGCCAUCCAGGGAUCCCUGCCUCUAGUCUUUAAAGUCUCAAGUCCACUCUGCACUAUCCAGUCCUAUUCUUAAGACUAAAAGCCCCAUGAAGGCAGAGAUUAAUGUUUACUUCUUUUUCUUCUUACUGUUGCAUUUAGUGCCUAGGAUAAUGGUAGCAUUUUGUUAAAUGAAUGAAUGCUGACAGAAAGCUCAACAACUUCUAAAAUUUUAUCAGGGACCAGGAUAAAA
This is a long non-coding RNA of Canis lupus familiaris (dog), 1213 nucleotides long. RefSeq lists it as uncharacterized. The transcript has 6 exons. The record is from RefSeq and is a predicted model, not a curated record. Lineage: Eukaryota; Metazoa; Chordata; Mammalia; Carnivora; Canidae.